CCUCCAAUUGUUGUGAUAUUUUGUUCAUUGCUUCCUCCUCUGCAUUUUAGGGUAACUAAUUCACCAUGAACAAAAUUUACUCGGUUCAGUGAAAUAAUCGACAACGUUGGGGCUGAAAAUGAGGCAACUAUUUUUCUGUUUUUAUUUGAUUAUGUGCUUUUCAGUUGUAGGAUCAUUUAUUUACUAGGGUUUAGUGUUUGUAAUGGAAGGUUUUGUUUGAUAUACUUGAUGGAUUUGAGAUUCCAAGUUAUGCUGUUGAGUUGAUUGAUGAAAUGACUCGGUUGUGCAGUGGGUUCUUUUAUCACAACCUUAUAUGUUUGGACAGAGUGAAAAAUCUAAGUUCGACCAAUUUAUUCAACUUCUCCUAAUGAAUCUGCCAAGCGCAAAGAUCAUAGCGACUAACUAGCUUCUUUGACAAGGGACUUGAGAUGGAUUUUUACUUGGAGCACCGGGGCAGGAUUUCAGUUUUUACAGGAAUACAUCUUUCAACUUAUUGUCAGUUCCGCUGCUGUUCACAUGUACUAUAAAAGCCCCUGGUGCAACACAAUCUUGAAUUUCAAGACUGGGAAGUAGCCGAAUUGCAUCAAUUGUUAACUUCUCCUUCGUAGAAAGGUAACCAAUAAACAUUCUAUUUUGCAAUUAAUGGUUGAACUUCCCAUAAUGGUAAUUUGAUGUAAGAUAUCAAAAAUGUUCCAAUUCUACUUUAUAAGCAUAGAUGCCAAGCCACGCUUGCUAAAUGGUAGUAAGUAUAUGAUUCGUAAUGGGUUUGAUGGUUUUAACAUAGUGUUACUUUCUAUCUUAGCUCAAAUGAUAGAGCGCAUGGUUUGUGACCAUGUAGUUGUGGGUUCGAUAUCCACAGAAGGCACAUAAAUUAUGUGAUUAGACUUCUAUAUAUCCACGCA
Long non-coding RNA from Papaver somniferum (opium poppy), 902 nucleotides. RefSeq lists it as uncharacterized. The transcript is spliced from 3 exons. The record is from RefSeq and is a predicted model, not a curated record. NCBI's taxonomy places the organism in Eukaryota, Viridiplantae, Streptophyta, Magnoliopsida, Ranunculales, Papaveraceae.